CCGUAUGUGACUGGAAAUGUUAACCUAUGUAAAGCUCCUUCGACGAGUCGAGUUGUUUGGGAAUGCAGCUCUAAAUGGGAGGUAAAUUUCUUCUAAAGCUAAAUAUUGGCGAGAGACCGAUAGCGCACAAGUAGAGUGAUCGAAAGAUGAAAAGCACUUUGGAAAGAGAGUUAAAAAGCACGUGAAAUUGUUGAAAGGGAAGCGCUUGCAAUCAGACUUGUUUAAACUGUUUCGGCCGGUCUUUCUGACCGGUUUACUCAGUUUGGACAGGCCAGCAUCAGUUUCGGCGGCCGGAUAAAGGCUCUGGGAAUGUGGCCUUCACUUCGGUGAAGGUGUUAUAGCCCAGGGUGUAAUACGGCCAGCCGGGACUGAGGUCCGCGCUUCGGCUAGGAUGCUGGCGUAAUGGUUG
This 409-nucleotide ribosomal RNA is filed under the name Aureobasidium melanogenum. Its description in RNAcentral is "partial large subunit ribosomal RNA". It matches the Rfam family "Eukaryotic large subunit ribosomal RNA", at positions 221 to 640 of the family's 3401-position model. Lineage: Eukaryota; Fungi; Ascomycota; Dothideomycetes; Dothideales; Saccotheciaceae. The record is from RNAcentral.